This 430-nucleotide unclassified non-coding RNA is filed under the name uncultured Lepiota. Its description in RNAcentral is "sequence contains ITS2". The stretch from base 1 to 154 matches the Rfam family "5.8S ribosomal RNA". The record is from RNAcentral. Lineage: Eukaryota; Fungi; Basidiomycota; Agaricomycetes; Agaricales; Agaricaceae.
CACUUUCGGCAACGGAUCACUUGGCUCUCGCAUCGAUGAAGAACGCAGCGAAAUGCGAGAAGUAAUGUGAAUUGCAGAAUUCAGUGAAUCAUCGAAUCUUUGAACGCACCUUGCGCUCCUUGGUAUUCCGAGGAGCAUGCCUGUUUGAGUGUCAUUAACUUCUCAACUACACUAGUUUCUUGUAAACUAGUUGUGGCUUGGAUUGUGGGGGUAUUCCUGCAGGCUUCUACUAUUGAGGCCAGCUCCCCUGAAAUGCAUUAGCGGAACCGUUUGCGGUCAGUCACCGGUGUGAUAAUUAUCUACGCCCACGACAAAGGCUGCUCUCUGUUUGUUCAGCUUCUAAUCGUCCUUUCAGGACAACUUUUGAAUAUUUGACCUCAAAUCAGGUAGGACUACCCGCUGAACUUAAGCAUAUCAAUAAGCGGAGGCU